Molecule: long non-coding RNA, 10228 nt
Organism: Pantherophis guttatus
Lineage: Eukaryota; Metazoa; Chordata; Lepidosauria; Squamata; Colubridae
Source: RefSeq, a predicted model, not a curated record
GCUUUUGGAAGAUGAAGGCUGAGCCCUCAGAGACAGAGUUGGAAGGGAUCUUGGAGGUCAUCUAGUCCAACCCCUGUUCACCAGGAGACCUCUACUAGGGAUUCGAACUGCUGAAUUGCCAACCUUUCUGAUCAGCAUCUUAGCCACCUAGCCAGAUGCUAAGCAGUACCCACAGAAAAGGCUACUAAGGGUUUUUAUCUUUCUGGGUUUCAAGCAGUGGUGGGUUGCUACCGGUUCUGUCCGGUUCUUUAGAACCGGUAGAAAAAGCGGCAGGAGGCUCCGCCCACCCGCCCCCAGAUGUCAUAAUUGACGACCGCACACUCCCGUGGCAAACCGGUAGUAAAGGUAAGUAGAACCCACCCCUGGUCUCAAGUGUGGCAACUCAACGGCAAGGUUGCAAGUUAACUUGCCUCGAUUUUGCUGAGUUUGGGCCCAGACCUUCCCCUGAUAUAAUCAGAAGAAACAGGUGCAGCCAUUAUUCAGUAUCAGAUCCAAACUCAUUUAGCUCUCUGCUGUCCCUUCCCAGCAAAUCAUGUAUGACUUUGGAUUCUGCACCUGGACCCUGCUUGGCCUAGACAGCGUUCAUUCCCACCUGCAAGCCAAGGUUUUACUAUUGGGGAGAAACAACAGCAAGGCUGCUGUAACAACAGAGAGGAGGGCGGGGAAACCGAAUUAAAGAAUGUGACAGAGCGUAUAGUACAUACAUUUUGCCAAAAGGCAAAAAUAACUUCAUACAAGACACAACUAAGCUUACACCUUUCAAGUUCUGCAGGAUUUCUGCCUGGGCAUUGAUAUGCAUUUAUAAUACUGCAAAUCCCACUACAUGAUUAAAAUACAAAGCUGCUUUUAGGGCCAUUCAACAUUCUGUAUUUUAUUUCACAUAUAUAUAGAUAUUUAUAUAAAAAGGCCGAAAUAGUGCUAUCCCAGUCUCCCAUAAGUCACAGAAGAAACAACAUAAAAUUUCUGACAGGUCUGAAAGUGAUGAAUAGAGAUUUCAUCCCACCAUGGCCAUUUUAACAUCUUUCAACAUAGGAAAAAACCCUGAUUGCAAAAAUAUCGCACAUUUAUACCUAUGAAUCAAAAGAAAUAAAUAUAUAUAUAGAUAUAUACUGUAUAUAUAGAUUGAUAGAUAGCGAAAGAAACAGAAUCACAUGAUUAAAUGACAUGAGUGACUAUCAAACUUAUCUGAUUCAGUUUCAACCACAAUAAUAAGGGAUAACUUGCAUGAGUCAUGGCAGAUAUAAUACCAUGAGAAAAUUUCAGUAUACGGUUAAAGCUGUCACUAAGCCUUAGAAGUUUUCAGAGCCAGCAGUAAUCUUAAUUUGUUCACCAGGCUUUUAAUUGAAUCUAUAUUGCUAUGCAUCUCUUUGUUCCUGUUUUGGAUUUAAGAUGUUAUAAUGCUAUGGUUUUUUAAUGCUAUUUUGUAUUCUGCUUUGAUGUUAGUAUGGUAAUAAUGAAAAGCAGAUAUUUUAUAAAUAAAUAGAUCACCUGAGCCAAAACAUUCUCAGGGGAAUCACUUGACAAAUUUGACUAUCUUAGCUACCUUUGAGAAAUGCCAAAUUUCAGAGUCCAGUAGUAGCUUUUAAGACAUUUAAGCAUUUUUAAUAUAAUGGGCAUGAGAUUUUGCCAGCCAAGCCUUAGAUACAUGGAGCUUAAUGGGUGGAUUUAAGACAGCUCAUAAAACCUAUCCUGUAUAAUAAAAUGUGUUAGUAUUAUUAUAGAGUCUAUUUGAAUUUUGGCUAUCGUAGACUAAUUUGACUGUCCUGUUAUAUUAAAGAAAUGAAUAGCAUUCAAGGGUUAGAGUUAGAGUUAGAACAUGCACCUGAUGCUGCAUCUAUACUGUCACCUUCAGUUUUCACCAGUGAACACAGAAAGCUUCAUGAAAAGAUAUUAUGGUGCCUGCAAGCAACAGGAUGAUAUUCCUCCACCUCCUUUGUUUAUGAAUUUUUGUAGCAUUUGAUUGGGCUUACAGUGCAACUGGGGAGAGCAUCAGGUUUCUGGAAAGAUAUAGUCAAGCAGUUUGUAUCAGCCUGCCUUCCAUUGAGCACCUGUAAACUGCCAUGUUCCAGAAAGAGGGCUGUGAAAAUAUCUACAGACCCCUCACAUCCUGGACAUAAAAUGUUUCAACUUCUGCCCUCAAGACAACAAGAUAACUAAUUUCCACAAUACGCAAACUAUCUAGUAGGGCUGUAUUACUGUUAUCCUUCUCUUUCCUAUUAUCUAUUUCCGUAUCUUCUUAUGACUAUAACUUUGUUGCUUGUAUCUUACGAUUUAUAUUAAUUGUUUUAUUUAGUAUCCUAGUAUGAUUUAUGUUGAUUGCUUAUUUAGUAUCAUAUGACUGUCACUAAGUAUUGUAUCAUAUGGAUUUAUGAUGAAUGUAUUUUAUGAUGAUUAUAGUCAUGAUUUAUCACUUGUUGGUUUUAUAUGUACACUGAGAGCUUAUGCACCGGAGAUGAAUUCCUUGUGUGUCCGAUCACACAUGGCUAAUGAAGAAUUAUUCUGUUCUGCUCUGCUCUGCUCUGCUCUGCUCUGCCCUGCCCUUCCCUAUCCUAUCCUAUCCUAUCCUAUCCUAUCCUAUCCUAUCCUAUCCUAUCCUAUCCUAUCCUAUUGUUGAGCACUUUGUGUGUUUACAGGCAGUUCUCAACUUAUGACCACAACUGAGCCCCAAAUUUAAUUUGCUAAGCAAGGCAGUUGCUAAGUGAAUUUUGUCCCAUUUUAUUACCUUUUUUGCCACAGUUGUUAAGCGAAUCACUGCAGUUGUUAAGUGAAUCAUGCAGUCAUUAAGCAAAUCUGGCUACCCCCCCCCCAAAUUACUUUGCAGGUCAGAAGCUGGCUGAAAAGGUUAUAAAUGGUCAUCAUAUGACCCUGGGUUUGGUGCAACUGUCUUCAGUUCAUGCCAGCUGCCAAGUGCCCAAAUUUUGAUCACAUGACGAUGGAGAUAUUGCAACCCUUGUAAGUGUGAAAGCUACUCAUAAGUCACUUUUUUCAGUGCCGUUGUAACUUCAAACAGUCACUGUAAGUUGAGAACUAUGUGUAUUUUUCAUGCUGGUUUUUAGACUGUUUCUCAAAACUAACCCAUGAUAAACUCCUGCAUCCAUGUCACAUAUACACAGCAGACUAGUGUGCUGGGAUGGGCAUGAACAUAUGCAGAGGGAGGACUGUUCAAUUAAAAUAAAAGACCCUGAAGAAAUCAGUGGUUCACAGUAUUUAAGCUCACAGCACUGCUCUAUGCCUCAUAAAGAAGCUUAAUGAGUUAUACUUUUCUUCUGUGGAGGAGUUUUCAGGGGGAAAAGAAGUUGUGUUAGAAAGAGAAAAUGGACAUGGAUUGCAUGAGCAGGCUUUAUGAGAAAAAUCUAAUCUCUGAUUGGCCUUUCUUGCACAAAAAAAGGAGCUAGGUGCAUCCUGCAUUUUAAUGGAAAAACAGGAUAUCUCCAAAAAUUCAAAACAAAAAUUAGAAAGCGCUUGAUUCAGCUUCAGAGUCAUGGUAGUAUGCAUCUAUUUUAUUAUUACUUAAUAUUUUAAAAUUGUUGACUAGAGAAUCAGGAAAAAGAACAGCAGGUUAACCAUUAACCAUUUUCCUUUAAACAUUUUUUUCUUCUCAAAAUCAUGCUCUGAUAGUUUUCAGUCAUCCAAGAGGAGAAAAAAGAUAGAAGUGCUGGAACAAUCUGGAGCUCAACAUGCUUAAAGCUGUAGUGAUGAGAGUAGAUUUUAGGAGGAGCCCUUUUAUUCUAUCACCUCUUACUAUUAUUUGACAGCACAGUAUCAGCAGUAGAAUCCUUCAAAUUUUUGGGUUCUAUAAUCUCCCGGGAUUUCAAAUGAACACCUAACAUUGUAAUUAAAAAGGCACAGCAAAGAAUGUUCUUCCUGCGUCAACUCGCGAAGUUCAGACUGCCCCAGGAGUUGUUGAUACAGUUCUACAGAGGAAUUAUUGAGUCUGCAUUUGUAUAGUCUAUAACUGUCUAUAACUAUUUGAUUUGAUACAGCAACCAAACAGAACAGAUACAGACUCCUGUGGAUAGUUAGGACUGCAGAAAAAACUAUUGCAACUAGCUUGGCUUCCAUAGAAGCCCUGUAUAUUGUGCAUCUUAGGCUAAGAAAACAUUUAAAGACCCCUUAUAUCCUGGAUAUAAACUGUUUCAACUCCUCUCUUCAGGACCCUGCUAUAGGGCAAUGUCUACCAAAACAACUAGACACAGGGACAAUUUCUUUUCCUUGUGCCAUCACUCUGCUGAACACCUAAUUCUCACAAUACUAUUUUACGUCCAAGGUAUAUUUACCCAUGGGGUAUGGCUGUAAUAUUAUUAUUAUUAUCCUUCUCAUUUUCUUUACUACCCCCUCUUUUUGAUAUCAUUAUUGUUGUUGUUGUUGUUGUUGUUGUUGUUGUUGUUGUAAUGGUAAGAGAAUACCUGUCUGACCUCGAUGAAUAUAAAUCCCCAGGACCUAAUGGAUUGCAUCCCAGAGUUCUGAGGGAGCUGGCAGAUGUUAUCUCAGAGCCAUUGUAUCAUAUCUUUAAAAAACCUUGGAGCAUCGGGGAACUACCAGAGAAUUAGAAAAGAGCUGAUGUGGUUCCCUUCUUCAAAAAAUGGAAAGAAAAAAACAUGAAACUACAGACCAAUCAGCUUAACAUCAAUACCUGGGAAGAUACCGGAAACACUAAUAAUAAAAAAACCAGAUCUGUGAACAUCUAGAAACAAAUAAAGCCAGCAUGGUUUUGUUAAAAACAGUUCAUGCCAAACCAAUCUUAUUUCAUUCUUUGACAAAGUGACUAAAUUAGUAGACUAGCGAAAUGCUGUGGACAUAGUAUAUUUAGACUUCAGCAAGGCAUUUGACAAAGUAGACCACAAUCUAAUUCUUGGUAAACUAGAAAAAUAUUGGAUAGACAGCAUCACCAGCAGAUGGAUUUGUAACUGUCUGACAAACCAUACUCAACCAGUAGUUCUUAAUGGAACUACAUCUACAUGGAGGAAAAUAAGUAGUGGGGUACCACAGGUUCUAUCUUGGGCCCCAUACUCUUCAAUAUCUUCACAAAUGACUUAGAUGAGGGAAUAGAAGGGGAACUCAUCAAAUUUGCAGAUGAUACUUAGCUGGCAGGAAUAGCCAACAGCACAGAAGAAAAGCUCAGAAUCCAAACAGAUCUUGAUAGACUUCAUUUCAUUUUAUUAGAUUUAUAUACCGCCCUACUCCCGAAGGACUCAGGGCGGUGAACAGCCAGAAAGAUAAAACACACAAACUAUAAAAUUUAAAAGACAAUAUAAAAACCCAUUAAAUAAUUUGGCCCAAAACAAUUUAAAACACCCCUAAUGUUUUAAAACCAAUUUUAAAAAUUACAAUUAAAAGGGAAGUUAGGCCAGGCCAGCCUGUUGAAAUAAAUAGGUCUUGAGGGCACGGCGGAAGGUGCGUAGAUCCAGGAUCCUCCGUAUCUCCAGGGGGAGCUCAUUCCAGAUAGCAGGUGCUCCCACAGAGAAGGCUCUCCCCCUGGGGGCCACCAGUCGACACUGUGACUGAGAACAAGUUAUCCAACAAAAUUACAUUUAAUGUGGAGAAAAGCAAAGUUUUACACCUGGGCAGGAAAAACCAAAAGUACAAGUACAGAUUAGACAAAACCUGGCUCAAAAACAGUAACUGUGAGAGGGACCUUGGAGUCCUAGUGGACAAUCACUUAAACAUGAGUCAGCAAUGUGCAGCAGCAGCCAAAAAUAUAAUCCUUGGUUGUAUAAAUAGAGGCACAGAAUCAAAAUCACUGAAGAAUUACUUUAUAAAGCCUUAGUAACACCACACGUGGAAUACUGCAUCCAGUUUUGGUCAUCACAUUACAAAAAAGAUGUUGAGACUUGGGAAAAGUGCAAAGAAGAGCAACUAAGAUGAUUAACGGCCCAGAGAUUAAAACAUGAAGAACGGUUGCAGAAUUUGGGUUUGGCUAGUCUAGAGAAAAGAAGGAGUAGGAGGGACAUGAUAGCAGUAUUCCAGUAUUUUAGAGGCUGCUACAAAGAUGAGGGCUCAAUUUAUUUUCCAAAGGACCAGAGGGCAGGACAAGAAACAAUGGAUGGAAACUAAUCAAGGAGAGAAGCAACAUGGAAUUAAGGAGAAAUUUAUUAUUACUCUGUUGCUUUCCAUGUACACAGAGCUUCUGCACCAGAGACAAAUCCAUGUGUGUCUAAUCACACUUGGCCAAUAAAGUAUUCUAAUUACUGUACUGAUUAAAAUAACUAUUUGUAGAAUAAGUACCUGAUUUAUAAAAUUAAGGAAUUCCUUCUCUGCAUACCAAUUAACUUCUCUUAUUCAUAAAUCACAGUUACACAAAAAACACUUAAAUUUAUUUCCCUCUGUUCUUCCAAUGCAAACAGCAAAAAGAGGAUGAAUGAAGAAAAGGCAAGGUGUCUGAGGAAGUUAAAAAAAGUCAAGGUGAUAACCAUAUAGUGAGGCGAGCAGCAUAUAAAUUUAAUAAUAAAUAAAUAAAAAUUAAUAAAAUAAUAACAAUUGAAUACUGGGUUAGUUUUCUAUUGAAGAGCCAAGAUUCCUUAUUUCUUCUUACUGUGCCAAGUCAGAUCCAUUUUACUUGGAUGAAGCUUUGCAAUGAAAAGGCUGGCAGAUUAAGUUCAGUUGGUAUUUGACUUCAAUCAGUUCUAUUUUGUGGUGAUUUUAGGAUCUUUUUGGAUUUGCAUCUUUAUUAUUACAUAUGGGAAAUAAUUUGUUUUCAUUGUUCGCUGUCUCAAUCGCUACAGAAUAAAAAAGAUGAACUAAAGACGGAAAUCAAUAAUUCAUCCAAAGGCUCUCAGAAAAGAAGCUGUGAAGUGAACUCUGGUGGAAAGAUUGCUAUAAUGUCAAUGUAUUAUGAAGCACAAGUUUCGGAAACUCAUUUUAUGGGUUUCGUGUUUCAGCCGGAAAAGAAAAACUACAGAAGGUCAUGGUUGUUUUGUGUAAAUCUCUGUAAUGCUGAGUUGGUUGCAACCUCAGAAUAAUUUGCUUCAGUCUAUGGAAUUAGUCCAAGCACUUUAUCCAAAAUCUGUUUGAAACAUCUGUAUCUUUUUUCCAUUCACACCUUUCUCAAAACGAAAGCGUACACAAACUUUCCUCCUACUGUAAAUUACAUUGUGAAUAUGAAUUCAGCAAAUUAAAAAGUGAAUGAACGUAUGUUUAUUUCCAGAUUCAUCUCACACCCAAACAUGCGUAUUUUGGAUCAAGGACAGACAGACAAAUAGAAACAGUCUCUGCUCAUAAUGCCAGAGCGUCUCUAUUUUCACAACUAUGGAAAAGUUUUUGUGCACGUCUAAUUGUAUGGGGAAUUAUUUUCAAAUACAAGAAAGAGCCACAUGAGCAGUUUUGAUGACAGUAUUAUAAGGAUACAAACAGAUUACAAAGAGUUCCAAAUGAAUAACUUCAAAUUAGAUAUACCACUAGCAGUACAACAGAUGAAAUUUAAUUCAAGUGUAGUUGUUGUUGUUUUUGAGGGGGGGUGAUUUGCUUUUCUAGGGCUGCACAAAUUAUUUCAAAGGUUCAGAAAGCAGUUUGUGGAUACCUUGAAAGAAAAUUGGCCAAUGUAGAUUUGGCUAAAGUUUUCUCUGAGAUUUAUUUAUUUUUAUUGCAUGAACUGAUUAGAAAAAAAAAAUAAGAAAAAAUAUAAACAAGUACAGUUUUUAAAAAAUAAAUAUCUAAUGUCCUGUAUAUCCAAUAACUGGCUCAGCUACUUUGAUUUUCUAUCAGCAUCAGGUAACAAUAUUUUUAUUGAGACAAAAUAUUGAUUGUAUUGAGCUGACUAAUUUUUGAAUCAUGCCUUGUGUUAAUAUGUGGAUUUUACUGGAAGUCUUGUGGUACUUUUAACUUACUGCCUUUGUAAUUUAAUAUAUACAAAGUUGUCACUGGCUUUUGGAAAUGGAUAUUGUUAGUCAUGUUACGCAGUAUAUGAAUAAAGUGGAAUAUAUAUCACAUGUCAAACAAAUAAACCAUGUCUUAAGAUUAAUGUAAAAAAAUAUUGUUGGGAUCUCAGAGAAAAUAUGUAUGAAAAUAUCACACAGCCACAACAUAUCUGAGGAUAGUGUCUGGCAGUUACAAGAAUAACACAGAAGUCAUAAUAACAAAGACUAUAUAAGUACAAUUGUACUAACUUUUUUUAAAAAAAUUAAUUUAUAUCCUACUUCUAUUGUUUUUACAAAUACAGGUAGUCCUUGAGCCCAAAAUUUAUUUUGCUAAGUGAGAAAUUUGUUAAGUGAGUUUUACCCCAUUUUAUGACUUUUCUUGCCUCAUUUGUUAAGUGAAUCACUGCAAUUGUUACAUUAGUACCACCGUUGUUAAGAGAAACUGGCUUUCCCAUUGACUUUGAAGUUCACAAAAGGUGAUCUCAUGACCCCAGGACACUGCAGCCACCAUAAAUAGGAACCAUUUGUCAAGCAUCCAAAUGUAAAUCACAUGACAUGGGGAUGCUGCAAUGGUCAUAAGUGUGAAAAAUGGUCAUAACUCACUUUUUUCAGAGCUGCUAUAACUUCUGAAAGAAGAUGCAUGUCAUUUGAAUGACAGGAAAGGCUGAAAAUUUUAAAAAAUGAAGAUGCUAUCUCAGGCUCACACAUUGAACAGUUAUUGUCACAGUAUUUCACCAAGUAAAAUUCACCAAGCCCAAGAAAUUGCUGGAGAAAAAAAAGGUUCUAUCAUAUCUCAAGACUUAAAAUGGACACCUAACAUCAAAAACGUCAUCAAAAAAUCACAACAAAGAAUGUUCUUUCUGCGCCAACUCAGAAAGCUCAAACUAUCCAAGGAGCUGCUGAUCCAGUUCUACAGAAGAAUUGUUGAGUCUGUCAUCUGCACCUCUAUACAGUAACUGUCUGGUUUGGUUCUGCAACCAAACAAGACAGACACAGACUUCAAUGAAUAAUUAGAACUGCAGAAAAAUCAAUUGCUACCAACCUGCCUUCCAUUGAGGACCUGUAUACUACACAAGUCAAAAAGAGGGCUGUGAAAAUAUCUACAGACCCCUCACAUCCUGGACAUAAAUUGUUUCAACUUCUACCCUCAAAAUCACCCUAUAGGGCAUUGCACACCAGAACAACUAGACACAAGGACAGUUUUUCCCUGAAUGUCAUCACUCUACUACACUCUAAACAACUAAUUCCCACAACACUGUCAAACUAUUUACUAAGACUGUAUUACUAUUAUUCUUCUCAUCCUUCCUAUUACCUAUCUCCUCCCACUUAUUACUAUAAUUUUGCUGCUUGUAACUUUUCAAUUUAUAUUGUUUUAUUUGUUUCCUAGUAUGAUUUGAUUGCUUAUUUAGUAACCUAUGACUAUCACUAAGUAUUGUAUCUUAUGAUUCUUGAUUAAUGUUUUUUUCUUUUUAUGUACACCGAGAGCAUAUGCACCAAAGGCAAAUUCCUUGUGUGUCCAAUCAUACUUGGCCAGUAAAGAGUUCUAUUCUAUUCUAUUCUAUUCUAUUCUAUUCUAUUCUAUUCUAUUCUAUUCUAUUCGGUGCCCUAUAAUUGUAUCUAUAAGAUUUCAAUUUCCUCGGCUAGCAUAAUAAAUUUUUAGCAGUUUUCAGUGCACUUAGUAUGCAGUUCCAAAUUAAUUAGAUGAUAAAAGAUGAUAGAGAUGAUAGAUGGCUAGAGAUAGAUAGAUAGAUAGAUAGAUAGACAAAUAGAUAGAUAGAUAGAUAGAUAGAUAGAUAGAUAGAUAGAUAGAUGGAUGAUAGAUAGAUAGAUAAUAUCUCAGUGCUAGGUCUAAGCCUACAAUUGUAGUAUUGUGGAAAUUUGUAAUGGUUUUAAUGUCAUAAUUUUGACAUCUCUGUAAGAUGCUCACCACAACCAUACUUGUUUCCUGCUUUAAAUAUAAAAUGAAGAAAGACAAAAAGAAAAUAAGAGUAGAAAUAAGAGUGAAUUGCAGCAAAUGUUCCAUGUACUAAAAGGAAUGUAAUACUACACCAUUUAUUCAUUCCUAUCCAGUAUGAAAUAAGCACUAAAAUUAAUUUCAGAAUGUAGGCUCGUGUUUUUUUUUAAAUUCAGAAAGACUUCCUUAGAAGGUGGCAGGCUAUUAGUGUAGAAUUAUUCCUGACUACCUGCUCAAGUUAGUAGCGCUGCUACAAAGAAAAAUUGGAUAACUACAGGCAGAUGGCUGGCAAUUAAUAGGACUAGAGAGAGGAAGGGAAACCAAAGCCAUGCUAACAGUAGAGGGGGGGAAAUCACCUGAGACAGUGAUUAAAAAUAAUGAUGUGCUGCACUAUAAUUGGUAAUAAACUUAGCUUUUUAUA